RNAcentral lists this ribosomal RNA (254 nucleotides) under uncultured bacterium. RNAcentral's name for it is "partial 16S ribosomal RNA". It matches the Rfam family "Bacterial small subunit ribosomal RNA", at positions 524 to 776 of the family's 1533-position model. The record is from RNAcentral.
UACGUAGGUGGCAAGCGUUGUUCGGAUUUACUGGGCGUAAAGGGCGCGUAGGCGGCCACCGCAAGUCGACUGUGAAAUCUCCGGGCUUAACCCGGAAAGGUCAGCCGAUACUGCGGGGCUAGAGUGCAGAAGGGGCAACUGGAAUUCUCGGUGUAGCGGUGAAAUGCGUAGAUAUCGAGAGGAACACCUGCGGCGAAGGCGGGUUGCUGGGCUGACACUGACGCUGAAGCGCGAAAGCUAGGGGAGCGAACGGG